CUAAGAAUCUUGCGCAAUGGGCGAAAGCCUGAUCCAGCAAUGCCGCGUGAGUGAUGAAGGCCUUAGGGUUGUAAAGCUCUUUUACCCGGGAUGAUAAUGACAGUACCGGGAGAAUAAGCUCCGGCUAACUCCGUGCCAGCAGCCGCGGUAAUACGGAGGGAGCUAGCGUUGUUCGGAAUUACUGGGCGUAAAGCGCACGUAGGCGGCUAUUCAAGUCAGAGGUGAAAGCCCGGGGCUCAACCCCGGAACUGCCUUUGAAACUAGGUAGCUAGAAUCUUGGAGAGGUCAGUGGAAUUCCGAGUGUAGAGGUGAAAUUCGUAGAUAUUCGGAAGAACACCAGUGGCGAAGGCGACUGACUGGACAAGUAUUGACGCUGAGGUGCGAAAGCGUGGGGAGCAAA
This 400-nucleotide ribosomal RNA is filed under the name uncultured bacterium. Its description in RNAcentral is "bacterial SSU rRNA". It matches the Rfam family "Bacterial small subunit ribosomal RNA", at positions 355 to 772 of the family's 1533-position model. The record is from RNAcentral.